This 81-nucleotide transfer RNA is filed under the name Staphylococcus aureus. Its description in RNAcentral is "tRNA-Lys". It matches the Rfam family "tRNA". Rfam says of the family: Transfer RNA (tRNA) molecules are approximately 80 nucleotides in length. Their secondary structure includes four short double-helical elements and three loops (D, anti-codon, and T loops). The record is from RNAcentral. Lineage: Bacteria; Bacillati; Bacillota; Bacilli; Caryophanales; Staphylococcaceae.
GAGCCAUUAGCUCAGCUGGUAGAGCAUCUGACUUUUAAUCAGAGGGUCAGAGGGUCAGAGGUUCGAAUCCUCUAUGGCUCA